Molecule: ribosomal RNA, 254 nt
Filed under: uncultured bacterium
Lineage: Bacteria
Description: partial 16S ribosomal RNA
Rfam family: Bacterial small subunit ribosomal RNA
Source: RNAcentral
CGUAGGUGGCAAGCGUUGUCCGGAAUUACUGGGCGUAAAGGGUGCGUAGGCGGAUAUUUAAGUGGGAUGUGAAAUACCUGAGCUCAACUCGGGUGCUGCAUUCCAAACUGGAUAUCUAGAGUGCAGGAGAGGAGAAUGGAAUUCCUAGUGUAGCGGUGAAAUGCGUAGAGAUUAGGAAGAACACCAGUGGCGAAGGCGAUUCUCUGGACUGUAACUGACGCUGAGGCACGAAAGCGUGGGUAGCAAACAGGAUU